RNAcentral lists this ribosomal RNA (250 nucleotides) under uncultured bacterium. Its description in RNAcentral is "partial 16S ribosomal RNA". It matches the Rfam family "Bacterial small subunit ribosomal RNA", at positions 524 to 773 of the family's 1533-position model. The record is from RNAcentral.
UACGGAGGGUGCAAGCAUUAAUCGGAAUUAUUGGGCGUAAAGGGCGCGUAGGCGGAUUUGUAAGUCAGAUGUGAAAUUCCGAAGCUCAACUUCGGAGCUGCAUUUGAAACUGUGAGUCUAGAGGAAUGGCGGAGAAAAUGGAAUUCCACGUGUAGCGGUGAAAUGCGUAGAUAUGUGGAAGAACACCGGUGGCGAAAGCGGUUUUCUAGCUUUUACCUGACGCUGAGGCGCGAGAGCAAGGGGAGCAAAC